UGCAGUCGAGCGAACGGAUAAGGAGCUUGCUCCUUUGAAGUUAGCGGCGGACGGGUGAGUAACACGUGGGUAACCUACCUAUAAGACUGGAAUAACUUCGGGAAACCGGAGCUAAUGCCGGAUAACAUUUGGAACCGCAUGGUUCUAAAGUAAAAGAUGGUUUUGCUAUCACUUAUAGAUGGACCCGCGCCGUAUUAGCUAGUUGGUAAGGUAACGGCUUACCAAGGCAACGAUACGUAGCCGACCUGAGAGGGUGAUCGGCCACACUGGAACUGAGACACGGUCCAGACUCCUACGGGAGGCAGCAGUAGGGAAUCUUCCGCAAUGGACGAAAGUCUGACGGAGCAACGCCGCGUGAGUGAUGAAGGUUUUCGGAUCGUAAAACUCUGUUAUUAGGGAAGAACAAAUGUGUAAGUAACUGUGCACAUCUUGACGGUACCUAAUCAGAAAGCCACGGCUAACUACGUGCCAGCAGCCGCGGUAAUACGUAGGUGGCAAGCGUUAUCCGGAAUUAUUGGGCGUAAAGCGCGCGUAGGCGGUUUCUUAAGUCUGAUGUGAAAGCCCACGGCUCAACCGUGGAGGGUCAUUGGAAACUGGGAAACUUGAGUACAGAAGAGGAAAGUGGAAUUCCAUGUGUAGCGGUGAAAUGCGCAGAGAUAUGGAGGAACACCAGUGGCGAAGGCGACUUUCUGGUCUGUAACUGACGCUGAUGUGCGAAAGCGUGGGGAUCAAACAGGAUUAGAUACCCUGGUAGUCCACGCCGUAACGAUGAGUGCU
Molecule: ribosomal RNA, 777 nt
Filed under: Staphylococcus sp. X25-CRBM-E14
Lineage: Bacteria; Bacillati; Bacillota; Bacilli; Caryophanales; Staphylococcaceae
Description: bacterial SSU rRNA
Rfam family: Bacterial small subunit ribosomal RNA
Source: RNAcentral